GAUGAACGCUGGCGGCGUGCCUAAUACAUGCAAGUCGAGCGAACAGAUGAGGAGCUUGCUCCUCUGGCGUUAGCGGCGGACGGGUGAGUAACACGUGGAUAACCUACCUAUAAGACUGGGAUAACUUCGGGAAACCGGAGCUAAUACCGGAUAAUAUAUUGAACCGCAUGGUUCAAUAGUGAAAGACGGUUUUGCUGUCACUUAUAGAUGGAUCCGCGCCGCAUUAGCUAGUUGGUAAGGUAACGGCUUACCAAGGCAACGAUGCGUAGCCGACCUGAGAGGGUGAUCGGCCACACUGGAACUGAGACACGGUCCAGACUCCUACGGGAGGCAGCAGUAGGGAAUCUUCCGCAAUGGGCGAAAGCCUGACGGAGCAACGCCGCGUGAGUGAUGAAGGUCUUCGGAUCGUAAAACUCUGUUAUUAGGGAAGAACAGAUGUGUAAGUAACUAUGCACGUCUUGACGGUACCUAAUCAGAAAGCCACGGCUAACUACGUG
Molecule: ribosomal RNA, 497 nt
Filed under: uncultured bacterium
Lineage: Bacteria
Description: partial 16S ribosomal RNA
Rfam family: Bacterial small subunit ribosomal RNA
Source: RNAcentral